GAUGAACGCUGGCGGCGUGCCUAAUACAUGCAAGUAGAACGCUGAAGGAGGAGCUUGCUCUUCUGGAUGAGUUGCGAACGGGUGAGUAACGCGUAGGUAACCUGCCUGGUAGCGGGGGAUAACUAUUGGAAACGAUAGCUAAUACCGCAUGACAACAGUUAUUGCAUGAUAACUGUUUAAAAGGGGCAACUGCUCCACUACCAGAUGGACCUGCGUUGUAUUAGCUAGUUGGUGAGGUAACGGCUCACCAAGGCGACGAUACAUAGCCGACCUGAGAGGGUGAUCGGCCACACUGGGACUGAGACACGGCCCAGACUCCUACGGGAGGCAGCAGUAGGGAAUCUUCGGCAAUGGACGGAAGUCUGACCGAGCAACGCCGCGUGAGUGAAGAAGGGUUUCGGAUCGUAAAGCUCUGUUGUAAGAGAAGAACGAGUGGGAGAGUGGAAAGUUCACACUGUGACGGUAUCUUACCAGAAAGGGACGGCUAACUACGUG
RNAcentral lists this ribosomal RNA (495 nucleotides) under uncultured bacterium. RNAcentral's name for it is "partial 16S ribosomal RNA". It matches the Rfam family "Bacterial small subunit ribosomal RNA", at positions 28 to 507 of the family's 1533-position model. The record is from RNAcentral.